AACGAACGCUGGCGGCAUGCCUAACACAUGCAAGUCGAACGAGACCUUCGGGUCUAGUGGCGCACGGGUGCGUAACGCGUGGGAACCUGCCCUUAGGUUCGGAAUAACUCCCCGAAAGGGGUGCUAAUACCGGAUAAUGUCUUCGGACCAAAGAUUUAUCGCCUUUGGAUGGGCCCGCGUUGGAUUAGCUAGUUGGUAGAGUAAAAGCCUACCAAGGCGACGAUCCAUAGCUGGUCUGAGAGGAUGAUCAGCCACACUGGGACUGAGACACGGCCCAGACUCCUACGGGAGGCAGCAGUGGGGAAUAUUGGACAAUGAGCGAAAGCCUGAUCCAGCAAUGCCGCGUGAGUGAUGAAGGCCUUAGGGUUGUAAAGCUCUUUUACCCGGGAUGAUAAUGACAGUACCGGGAGAAUAAGCUCCGGCUAACUCCGUG
This 433-nucleotide ribosomal RNA is filed under the name uncultured bacterium. RNAcentral describes it as "partial 16S ribosomal RNA". It matches the Rfam family "Bacterial small subunit ribosomal RNA", at positions 29 to 507 of the family's 1533-position model. The record is from RNAcentral.